GAUGAAGAACGUAGCGAAAUGCGAUAAGUAAUGCGAAUUGUAGAAUUCAGUGAAUCAUCGAAUCUUUGAACGCACAUUGCGCCCGCCAGUAUUCUGGCGGGCAUGCCUGUCUGAGCGUCGUUUCGACCCUCGCGCCCGGCUUCUGUCGGGGGCGGUGUUGGGGAUCGGCCACACCCUUCAGUGGGAGGCCGGCCCCUAAAUUCAGUGGCGACCACGCUGUAGCCUCCCCUGCGUAGUACUAAAACCACCUCGCAGGCGGAGAGCGGUGCGGCCCGCCGUAAAACCCCCCAACUUUUACAAGGUCGACCUCAGAUCAGGUAGGAAUACCCGCUGAACUUAAGCAUAUCAAUAAGCGGAGGA
RNAcentral lists this unclassified non-coding RNA (360 nucleotides) under soil metagenome. Its description in RNAcentral is "partial contains 5.8S ribosomal RNA, internal transcribed spacer 2, and large subunit ribosomal RNA". The stretch from base 1 to 120 matches the Rfam family "5.8S ribosomal RNA", at positions 35 to 154 of the family's 154-position model. The record is from RNAcentral.